UGCUUGAUAAGUUGGUUAGUAGCACCUGACUCUCCCGAUAGCUAUCGGGACAGGGGGUCGUUGGUUCAAGCCCAACAGGGUCCA
This 84-nucleotide transfer RNA is filed under the name Paludibacter sp. RNAcentral describes it as "tRNA-OTHER". Lineage: Bacteria; Pseudomonadati; Bacteroidota; Bacteroidia; Bacteroidales; Paludibacteraceae. The record is from RNAcentral.